RNAcentral lists this ribosomal RNA (253 nucleotides) under uncultured bacterium. Its description in RNAcentral is "partial 16S ribosomal RNA". It matches the Rfam family "Bacterial small subunit ribosomal RNA", at positions 524 to 776 of the family's 1533-position model. The record is from RNAcentral.
GACAGAGGUGCCAAGCGUUAGGCGGAAUCACUGGGCUUAAAGCGUGUGUAGGCGGAGUGCUAAGUACCUUGUGAAAUCCCACGGCUCAACCGUGGAACUGCCUCGGAUACGGGCGGUCUCGAGGGGGGUCGGGGCACGCGGAACUGUGGGUGGAGCGGUGAAAUGCGUUGAUAUCCACAGGAACGCCGGUGGCGAAGGCGGCGUGCUGGACCCCAUCUGACGCUGAGGCGCGAAAGCCAGGGGAGCAAACGGG